CGCAUCUGUGCAUGCAGCAUAUCAAUAAGCGGAGGAAAAGCCAACUACCUACGCUUAGGAUGUUGACGCGCGUGUGUGCGUGAUCUAUACAUGACUCUGCGCAUAUCAAUAAGCGGAGGAAAAGAAACUAACAAGGAUUCCCUUAGUAACGGCGAGUGAAGCGGGAAGAGCUCAAAUUUGAAAUCUUCAAGGUUUUACCUUGACGAAUUGUAGUUUAAAGAAGUGUUUUCUGUUGAAGUUUGGGUAAAAGUUCUUUGGAAUAGGACAUCAUAGAGGGUGAGAAUCCCGUAUUUGACCAUUAUUUUCAGCUGUGUGAUACACUUUCAAAGAGUCGGAUUGUUUGGGAAUGCAGUCCAAAAUGGGUGGUAAAUUUCAUCUAAAGCUAAAUAUUGGCGAGAGACCGAUAGCGAACAAGUACCGUGAGGGAAAGAUGAAAAGAACUUUGAAAAGAGAGUUAAACAGUACGUGAAAUUGUCAAAAGGGAAGCGUUUGACACCAGUGUUGUUUUCUCGAAAAUCAAUUAAAAAGAGUUAGGAUUUUGUUGUGUAUUGACCUUAACAGCUUGCAUUUCAAUUUUCUUGCUUUUUUUAAUGCACUUUUCGUUUAACAAGUCAACAUCAUGUUUCUUUUGUUGUAAAAAGGUCAUUGGAAGGUGGCUUUCUUUUCGGAGAAAGUGUUUAUAGCCUUUGACUCCUGCAAUCGGAGAGACUGAGGUCUGCAGCGUAGAUCCUUCGGGGUUAGAUACAUUUGUGCUAAGUUAUAGCUUUUUAUAGACAACUUGUUGACUAUGAUUAGUCUUGUAGCUUACUCGCUUAUGCUAUUUUACCUACGCUUAGGAUGUUGACGCGCGUGUGUGCGUG
This 860-nucleotide ribosomal RNA is filed under the name uncultured Neocallimastigales. RNAcentral's name for it is "partial large subunit ribosomal RNA". It matches the Rfam family "Eukaryotic large subunit ribosomal RNA", at positions 1 to 639 of the family's 3401-position model. The record is from RNAcentral. Lineage: Eukaryota; Fungi; Neocallimastigomycota; Neocallimastigomycetes; Neocallimastigales.